This 253-nucleotide ribosomal RNA is filed under the name uncultured bacterium. Its description in RNAcentral is "partial 16S ribosomal RNA". It matches the Rfam family "Bacterial small subunit ribosomal RNA", at positions 524 to 776 of the family's 1533-position model. The record is from RNAcentral.
UACAGAGGGGGCAAGCGUUGUUCGGAAUUACUGGGCGUAAAGGGCGCGUAGGCGGCCUGUUAAGUCGAACGUGAAAUCCCCGGGCUCAACCCGGGAACUGCGUCCGAUACUGGCAGGCUUGAAUCCGGGAGAGGGAUGCGGAAUUCCAGGUGUAGCGGUGAAAUGCGUAGAUAUCUGGAGGAACACCGGUGGCGAAGGCGACUUUCUGGCUGCUAACUGACGCUGAGACGCGAAAGCUAGGGGAGCGAACGGG